Molecule: ribosomal RNA, 292 nt
Filed under: uncultured bacterium
Lineage: Bacteria
Description: partial 16S ribosomal RNA
Rfam family: Bacterial small subunit ribosomal RNA
Source: RNAcentral
GUGCCAGCAGCCGCGGUAAUACGGAGGGUGCGAGCGUUGUCCGGAAUCACUGGGCGUAAAGGGCGCGUAGGCGGCGCGGCAAGUCUGUGGUGAAAGCCCGAGGCUCAACUUCGGGUCGGCCAUGGAUACUGCUGCGCUCGAGCACUGUAGAGGCAGGUGGAAUUCCGGGUGUAGCGGUGGAAUGCGUAGAGAUCCGGAAGAACACCGGUGGCGAAGGCGGCCUGCUGGGCAGUAGCUGACGCUGAGGCGCGACAGCGUGGGGAGCAAACAGGAUUAGAUACCCUGGUAGUCC